CAACCAGAAAGGGUGGGGUUAGAAAUAAAUAAGGAAAAUAGGAGGAAGUUGAUAAGAAAAGUGAAUAAAUAAGAUGAAAGAAUAUGCAAAAAACCACAUCUACUUGAAAUAUAUUAAACUGCAUUUUGAUUACACCUUCCUCUUCCAGCUUCCCUUUUUCUCCAAUAUUUCAGUGAAAAGAUGUUGUUCCUUACUCACCCUUUUAUCUUUGUAGGUGUUCACACCUUGUUUACCUUUUCUACUGCCUCUAAAUAUGGUCACCCCAG
This 266-nucleotide long non-coding RNA is filed under the name Homo sapiens (human). RNAcentral describes it as "HSALNT0125683". The record is from RNAcentral. Lineage: Eukaryota; Metazoa; Chordata; Mammalia; Primates; Hominidae.